CAUUUCUAACAGAUCUACGUGACUCGACAAAGCUGUAUAUCUCUUGGAGGGGAGCAACUGGCCCAACAAACUGCUGUUUGUAACCACAAACAAGAAUGGAUGGGCUGCGUUCUCCCUAAACACUGCUAAUCUUAAGGCUGAUCUGAAUCUCGUGAUAAGACUUGUAUUUUGUAAAAAUUGAGACUUGCUCUAGCAUGAAACUGAUUAAGUUUGUUCUGUGAUGUUCCAGUUGUCUGUUAGUGUUGAUCUGGUUCCAGCAGUGCAGAUUCUGGUCUACAGUGGUCUUCCAAGUGAGAAUGUAGUUGCUGCUAGUGUGCUGUUUGACACUGAUUUGUUUUUCCAAUUUUUCAGGUUUCUCUGCAGUUUGCCAUGGGUGUUCCUGUGGAGGUAAAUGUUCUGAUGGUUUCUGCUCAAGCAGGAUCUCUGUAGCUUCAGUGCUGUAGUUCAGAGUGUCUGGAUCAUGGAGCCAGGAAGAUGUGUGAGAGCUGAAAAGGUGUCUCUGCAGUUUGCCAUGGCUGUUCCUGUGGAGGGAUGGGUUCUGUUCAAGCAGGAUCUCUGUAGCCUCAGUGCUGUAGUUCAGAGUGUUUGGAUCAUGGAGCCAGGAAGAUGUGUGAGAGCUGAAAAGGUCU
This is a non-coding RNA of Pimephales promelas (fathead minnow), 629 nucleotides long. The record is from RefSeq and is a predicted model, not a curated record. Lineage: Eukaryota; Metazoa; Chordata; Actinopteri; Cypriniformes; Leuciscidae.